AGACGAUGGUUGGGGAUGAUUUGGGAUUUCCCCCCCCCCCUCGCCCUUGCACUCAAGCGGAAGCGAAGGGGCCUGAGCGGCGGGGCCGAGGGCAGAGGGGUGCUCGGGGGAAGGCGGUGCUCGGAGAACCGCCCUCCCCCUCGCCCCGCUCUCCGCCCCGGCUCCGCCGCUGCUGCCGCCUCGGAGCCCGCCGGAGGGAUGCGGAGCGCGGCGCUGAAGCGCUGUCUGGCCCCGGCGCUCCCCGCCGCGCUGCCGCGGGGCCGCGGGCUCUGCGGGCGCCAACCGCGGGGCGGCGGAGCGGCCGCGGCGGUGCGCAAAAUCACAGAGAAUGCAAAGAAAUCCUUGGCCUCUCUUAAGAGAGAAAACCCUUGGUUUGAGCCAACACUUGCCAUUAUUCAGGCACAUAAUGACACCAUGACUCAAGAAAUGAACAAGAGCUUUGCCAGAGAGAUUGGUCUACGUGUUAUUCACAUCUGUCUCCCUGAAGGCAGCAGCAAGGAUGAGAUAGUCAAUGAAAUUUUGAGACUUAAUGAAGAUCCUAAUGUGCAAGGCCUUGCCCUUGACCUCCCAGAAAGCUUAUAUAGCAGUAAGGUAUUAAACGCUGUGAAACCAGAGAAGGAUGUGGAUGGAGUAUCUGAUGUAAACUUAGGACGCUUGGUACGUGGUGAUACCUAUGACUGUCUAGUUCCUCCUACAGUGUGUGCUGUGAUAGAGCUUCUUGAAGAUUUAGGUGGGAAAACGGUGCUGCUGGUGGGAACUGGCAGGGCAGUGGGUGCCGCCUUGCAGUGUGUGCUGCAGCAGGAGGGAGCUGCCACCCUGAGCUGCCGCUGGAAAGCCCCUCAGCUGCAGAGCCAGCUUCAGCAUGCAGAUGUGGUGGUACUUGGCAGUACAAAACCUGAUGAAGUUCCUGUGAGCUGGAUAAAGCCUGGAACCACCAUUAUCAGUUGUUCUCGUGACUUGCUGUCAGAGAAACACAACUAUGGCCAGCAAAACAACCAUGCUGCUGAAAACGCUGUUGGUCCUCUUGCAAUAGCAAUGCGAAUGCAGAACAUGGUAAAAAACACGGAGCGAUGGAUCCAGUCCCAGCGCUACAGGAAGUGGGACCUCCGCUGCUUGAAACUGCAGCCCCUCACCCCAGUGCCCAGUGAUAUUGAGAUUUCCCGAGCACAGAGUCCAAAAGCUGUUGAUGUACUUGCCAAGGAGAUAGGAUUGCUUACAGAUGAAAUUGAGAUCUAUGGCCAAACCAAAGCCAAAGUACGUUUGUCCCUGCUGGAAAGGUUAAAGGAUCAACCAGAUGGAAAAUAUGUUCUAGUUGCUGGAAUAACCCCUACACCCCUAGGAGAGGGGAAAAGCACAGUCACAAUUGGUCUUGUUCAGGCACUUACUGCACACCUUAACAUAAAUUCAUUUGCUUGUCUGAGACAACCUUCCCAAGGACCUACUUUUGGAGUUAAAGGUGGAGCAGCUGGUGGUGGAUACGCUCAAGUGAUUCCCAUGGAGGAGUUCAAUCUUCAUUUGACUGGAGAUAUUCAUGCUAUAACUGCUGCAAAUAAUUUGCUGGCUGCUGCUAUUGAUGCUAGGAUCUUACAUGAGAACACUCAAUCUGAUAAGGCUUUGUAUAGCAGACUGGUUCCAGUAGUUAAUGGCGUGAGAGGAUUUUCUGCUAUUCAACUUGCCCGUCUGAGAAGGCUGGGAAUAAACAAGACUGAUCCUGGGACUUUAACAGAAGAGGAGAUCAGCAAAUUUGUGCGCCUUGAUAUUGACCCAUCUACCAUAACAUGGCAAAGAGUGGUGGAUACAAAUGACAGAUUCCUGCGCAAAAUAACAGUUGGGCAAGCAAAUACAGAGAAGGGAUUUGUCCGUCAGGCUCAGUUUGAUAUUGCUGUUGCAAGUGAAAUUAUGGCUAUCCUGGCACUUACCACCAGCCUGCAAGAUAUGAAGGAGAGACUGGGGAAAAUGGUGGUGGCUAAUGACAAGAAAGGAGAACCAGUGACAGCAGAGGAUUUGGGAGUAACAGGCGCUUUGACAGUUUUGAUGAAAGAUGCGAUUAAGCCAACACUAAUGCAAACAUUAGAGGGAACACCAGUAUUUGUUCACGCUGGACCUUUUGCUAACAUUGCACAUGGCAAUUCUUCUGUUUUGGCAGAUAAAAUUGCCCUUAAAUUAGUUGGAGAGAAAGGUUUUGUAGUAACUGAAGCUGGCUUUGGUGCUGACAUCGGGAUGGAGAAAUUCUUCAACAUCAAAUGCAGAGCCUCUGGCUUGGUUCCCAGCGUGGUUGUACUUGUUGCUACAGUGAGGGCUUUGAAGAUGCAUGGAGGUGGGCCAAAUGUAACUGCUGGUGCCCCCUUGAAGAAGGAAUACACAGAAGAGAACCUCCAGCUGGUAGCUGAUGGCUGCUGUAAUCUACAGAAACAGAUUCAAAUUACUCAGCUCUUUGGAGUUCCUGUUGUGGUUGCUCUAAAUGUCUUCAAAACUGACUCUCCUGCUGAGGUUGAUUUGGUGUGUGAGAUUGCAAAGCAGUCUGGAGCAUUUGAUGCUGUACCCUGCAACCACUGGUCAGCUGGUGGUAGAGGAGCAGUCAAAUUGGCUCAAGCUGUGGAAAAGGCAGCCAAUCAGAAAAACAGUUUCAAAUAUCUCUACAGCUUGGAGCUUCCUAUUGUUGAAAAAAUAAGGAUCAUUGCUCAGAAGGUGUAUGGAGCUCAGGAUAUAGAGUUGUCGCCAACUGCACAGUCACAAGUUGAUCGGUACACUCGGCAGGGAUUUGGAAAUCUCCCCAUUUGUAUGGCAAAGACCCACCUGUCCCUCUCCCAUCAGCCUGAGAGGAAGGGCGUUCCCACUGGUUUCAUCUUGCCGAUUAGUGAUGUACGAGCCAGUAUUGGAGCUGGAUUCAUCUACCCUUUGGUUGGAACGGGUCAGCCAGAUUUCUCAUCGCCCUCCCCAGUAAUCACAGCAGAUCCACAAAAAAGUAAAAUUCAUGUGACAUCCCAACCACUUCAGCUGGCUUGUUGAAACUCAAAAGUUAUGAUUUAACUGGAGGAGCAAUGCCAUGCUAUUCACAAGAAAGAGAAAAUCCAAGUUAUUUCUGCAUUAUAGCCUGAAUAUCAUAAAAAUGAAAGUUCAUGUAAAGUAUCUUUUUCAGCCAAAAUUUGAAUUAGUAAAUAAGUAACUAGACGUCUUAAAAAAACAGAAGAAUAUUUCAGAGACUAUAAUACGGCCACUCAUUAAUGUCUUGGCAUUCCUUGCUGAGAACAGGGUACUCAUCAACUUGCACACAAUAUGUGUUUUCUGUAGGCUUACUGAUUUAAAAUGUGUGCUCAAAGCUGAUUGCUAUUAACUGAGCUCUGGGGUUAUCCCCAGAUCAGUCUGGCAAUAGGUUCAUAUUCUUUAGCAACUUGACCAUUUUGUCUCUCUCUGUUUAAUUAAAGCUGACUGGAUUAUUCUCAGCUUCUUUAAUGCAGAAGCAGUUUUAGGACUCUUGACAUAUUAACUUCUUUCUAAUACUUGGUAUACUGAGAAAUCCAAGAAUUUUUAAGUUGCCAUGUUCACAUAAAAUUUGUACCUGUAACAUCUGAAGUCUUAGGAAUUUCAUAGACUUUUAUUUAUACCUGCAUUAUGUCCCUGUGCUGUUAAGCAGAACUAAAGGUUAUCUGAAGCUGUCUCCACACUGCCUGGAAACCAGUUUUUCUUUGAAAUACUUCUUCAGUCUGUGAAGAGAUGUUGCCAGGCAUCCAUAUUAAUGCCUCUAUAAAAAAAGGAAAUACUUUCUCAUGUGUGAUUAAAAUGUGGAAGACAUUAACACAGGAAAGUCACUGAGGCUAAGAAUUUAGCAAGAUUUAUAAAAGGUUGUGGCCAUCAACAAUAUGCAGGGUUGUAAUUAAUACAAACAAGUGAUUUGAAAAAAACUCUGAGCAUGUUGUUCAAGGGUUGGGCCAGUUAUCAGCCCCCACUGUUGGACAGAGAUUGCUUUGUCAGCCCCUAUAGUUGUAGCUUUUCUCCAUAAAGCAUCUGGCACCAGCCCCUGUCAGAGACAAAACGCUGGGACACGUGUAUUUGCUCUGAGGUGAUAUGGCUCACUCCCUGCCUGCCUUCUGCCUGAUUUAAGGUGUGCAACUUCUGUGUUAAUUGAACACACUGCACCAGUUUUCUGCACGUACCCAACACCCUGCUGCUCUGUACACAUAGAAAGCAAGGCACUAGGGGCUUUUGUUACUCGACUAAAUCAAAUGGAGAUAAAAGAUGAUUUUUCAUAAACAAUUGCAGCAGAGUAGAUACAGAUACUUCCCACCUUCCUCCACGCUUGAUGACUUUUUCCCAGUCCUGCAUUUCUCAGCUGCGGCCGGGCACGUGCUCUGCACUGUCCUGCAGGCUCACGCACAGUUGCAGCAAAGCAGCUGGAGCAUAAAGGAGAGAGAAUGUGCAGUGACACACGGUGAGCAGAGUGAAGCCUUUUUCCUGGGCACCAGAGAGAAGUAACGUUAUGCUGCUGGCACUGCAUUUGUCAGAUUUGUUUGUGUGCCUGAGACCCUGAAUGAGCUGUGCUGACUGUAGAGCUCUUAUCCGAUUUGUAGUAAAGAGCAUCAAUGCCAUUGUAUUUGGCACCUGUAGUAAAGAUGUGAUGCGGUAAAUAGACAUGGAAACCAAUUGCUCUGCAGGUAAUCUGGCCAAAAUGUGAUCAGGGCAUGUUUGUGACAGUACAAAUAAGCUUCCUCCGAGUUUGUGAAGUUCUUUGUCUCUUUACUUUUCUCAGGGAAAAAGAAAAAAACUAUAUUUCUUAAUACCUUUCACAGAAAAUCAAUUUAAAAAUAACUUCACAGACAGUAUUUAGGCAGUCUGACAGAGGAGAAAUGUGACAUGGAAGCAAAGAUAAAGAAGAUUUUUCCCACAAAUAAGCAACAGGCCUUUUUUGUACGAGGACAAUGACAGGAAUCCCAACAGCGGGGUGGGAUGCUGGUGACAAGACAGCAGCAGAAUCCAUGACUGUGACCAAGGGAGGGAUCUCGUGCUCACGAGCAGCCUCUCUUCAAGGCACAUGCCCGGGCAGGUGGGCCAGGACAAGCUGUGGGGGCAUCGCAGCCCACCAGGAGGUCAGUGGGCCAUGGCGGGAGCUUCCUUCAUGGGGCCACCAGGAGGGAAGGAGGCUGAACCUCCAUAGGUUGUGUUCGUUGUGCCUUUGGCUGAGCAGUGGAGCUGUAAAUGGUUUGUUUGCCAAAAAUGAAAGUUCACUACAGACGCCGUUUGUUUGGAUUAGAAGGAGCCUGGGAGCUCUACCAUAAGAGUAAAUAAAACAUGUGGCUUAGUCUGCUGGUUUCUUUGCUUUGGUAUUAGAGAGAUUAUAUUCUGAUUUUUAUUUCUGUGUUAUCAUUUUAUUUUAGUCUUUUUAUGACUUACCCCAUAUGUACACAAAUAAACUAUGGCAUUUUUUAAAAUUUUUUUAGUGAUUGAGAAGAAGUUCUAUAGAUCAUUCCUGUACUAGAUGUUUGUCAAAACACACAAAAGAGUUUUGUCAACUUGUUUUCCUUUGGGAUGCAGAAAUUCGUUACUACCUUCCACUUUUUCGUCCUUUCACAUGCUGCAUUUGGGAAAAAUACUGAGCACCACCCACAAAGCAUCUGUUUGAGGGUUGGUUUGUUUUUCAGACUGAAAAAAGUAUGUUUCCAAAUAUAAUUGCUUUUGGUUGGACAUUUUAACAUUUUUAUUGUUUAUAUGAAUAUAUCAUAAUCCUUUGUUAUAUUGCAGAAACUGUGCUUAGAAAAGUGACUUAAUGCAAGUUCAUACUGAGUAAGUACUUCAGAGCAAAGUGUGAAAAAGAGAGGAAGUUGUAUUCCCUUAAAAAUACUGAUACAAAAACUUCAUUACGUAAUAGAAAAAGAUGAUUCAUGCAAUGUAACUAUUUAGCAUAGUUAGUUUUGAGUUUCAGUUAUAUGAGACUAAAAUGAGAAUCAGAGUUACCAAUUUCAAGUUCCAUUCUCCUAGCAGCACCUCAGCUCCUUUUGGCAAAUGAUUUAACCUUUUCUGCCUCCUAUCUCACUCACCUUUUAAAAUUGAGAUCUUAUUUCAUGUAUUUCCCAGAUGUACUUAAUGUGUUUAAUUCAUAUUUGGAAGUACUUUGAAAAUAAUUUUAUUUACGGAAAUAUAAAUCUUUAUUAUAUUAUGUGAGGAUGCAUGUUUACAGGAUAAAGAUUGUGCUCUCCAUAAGUUCACAACAUUUUGGCUGGUGUCCUUUGAAAAUUAAAUCUGUCUGACAGCUUAUUCCCUCACAGUUCUCUCCCAAUGAACAGAAAUUAGAGGUUUAGUGUCUCCUUAGAGAAACUUUGAAAAUCAGCAUUGUGAUACAAGAGUUAAGUCACACAUUCAUGGCUAGAAUUUUUUCCUUUCUCCUUAGAGCUAUUAAUGCAGUUCAGAAAACUUGCAAAGAAGGUGGCUCUUCUGAAGGUACUAGUGCCUCACAAGUCAGUGGCUUUCAGCUUUUUUCAAAGCAUUUCAAUGCUCCUCCAUUUUCCAGAAGUGUGAACUCUAGCAUAGGUUAUUCAAGGCUCGCUUUUCUUAGCAGCCCUUUGGAGACCUGUUAAAAUAGUGGGUCAAUAGACUAUAGGGUGAAAAUUGGUCAUCUAAAUAAUAUAGUUCAAUUUUACUUGUUUUCUUGUCAAAAGGAACCACAGUACAUUCUGGUAUGAUUUUAGAGAACAUGCGGUAUUGAGUAAUAUAAUUUACAGACAGUUUAACAAUUUGGUGCCCUCAUACCCAGCCAAACAAUUCAUUCUGGAUCCUUCUGGGUUAGGAACAAAUAGAAAGGAAAAGUCAUUCAAUAUGUCAGUGCAACUAAGAUAGCAUUAACCUAGUGUAUUGAAACAGUAAUUUGCCUGGAGAGAAAUGGGAUGAAAUUGCAUGUGGUUAGAAAGCAGCAGUAUCCAUAAUUAUAAUGUCAGGUGCUUGUUUGUAAUUGCCUAUUUCCUGUUUGCUUCAGUUUGUCACAAAAUAAUGUGUGCUAAGAGCUACGAGGAGCAAGCAAUUUAAUUUGCUUAUCCAAGCAACAAGUGACUUGAGAAAGUAGAUGAAACUAACAAGAUUAGAGAUGCUCACAGGUCAAGGUUGAUACUUGAUGAUGUUACAGUGAUAGUGGUUGGUGCCCACCACAGUUGAUCAUUCUUUGGAGACAAGCAGCCCGGCUUUUCUUUCAACAUCUCCCAUGACAACCACAGACCAGAAAGGCAAACUGCACACGUGAAUUGUAGCUUUUAUUGUUUCCCAGUACUGAAACCAGAGCAUGGCUACUCAGAUAGGAUUAGCGGAGUAUGGUCACCUCUUCCACUUUUUCAACUCCUGUUGCUUCAGUGUUUCCCAAAAUACUUGUACCCUUUGGUAUUACAAAGGUCACCACUGGCACUUAGCUUAAAAUAUUUGAGACAAAGCCAGUUUGGUGAUUUAACAAAUAAAAGGAACUAAUUUUAAGUGGUCCCGUCCUAUGGUCCCUUUACGGUUUUUAGAAGCAGUUCUUCCCAUAUAUAUACACAUAUGUGCAUCAUCUUUGCUCAAUAAGAUGUUUCUUAGGGAACUUUACUCACUCAGAUGUCAGUGGAUGCAGUUAAUUUUAACCAAGGUGACUAGUAUGGCAGCAGUUAAAUGUGCUUUUAUUCAGCAUAGUUAUACAGUCAUUUGGGAUUUCUCCAUGUUGUAAUUUGUCAUUGAAAUGAUGGGAUGAUGCUCCCAAUGAUCUUCCAAGCAUGGCUUACUGGGAAGGGUAAAGUUUGUUGCAUGUUGAGCACAGAUAUUUGCUUUGUGUAGUCUGCUGUUGCCACCACCUCCAGUUUCUGGGCUGUAACUGGGGCGCCGUGCUUUCCUGUGUUAACAUGUCAGGCUGUCUGACCAGCAAGGUAAGUCUUGUAUAAAAGUUAGGAGGAUUUUAAACAAAAUGGCACAGUGAAGAUCAAGAGCAAAGAGUGGGAUGUGCUCCCAGUGUUUGAAGAAGGGCCAUUCUAGAGGAAAAACAAGUAAAAAAUAAACAGGAGGAAAUGAAGGGUGCACAGUCCCUGAGGAAAGGCAAAGUGGUUGGGAUGGGUCUGCCCAAGACCUUUCCUCCCCAAAUACCACAAAAUCUGUUCUACUUUCAGCAGAACCUGAGCUUCUAGUGGAGAUUGGUCACCUUCUGCUCACCAGGAGACCCAAUCACUGGACAAAGUAAGAGGAUUAAGUACCCACAAACGUCAGAUAUUUCAGAUAUUCCUGUUGCUGAAACAGCACAUGGGAGGAGCACCUUUAUCCUCUGGAUUUAUUCCUUCAGAGGCACAUUUCCAGCACUGUCUGAUAUAUUGGACACUCGUCAAGAAUGGGAACAGCCCUGGGAGCUACUGACAUCAGGAGUGAACAGGAGGGAAGGAUUUUUUCUGGCUGAGGAGGUGAUUUUGUACAAGAGGCAGCAAAUGAGAAUCCUUUGCCAAGGAUUCUGUCAAAAGCCCAAGGGGGAAAGGAAAAUCAGGAUGUAGGCCAUGGCCAAGGGAGCAAUUACUUCUGGAAAUGGAUUUGAGUGGGCUGGGAUGGAGGGAGGUGUUUUGGAACAAGUCACCUGGAAUUUGUAGGCCUGUUUUUUCUCUCCCCUUUAUCUCCUUAGUGGCUGGUUAUUUGGGGUUUGGUGGGUUGAUUUUGUUUGUUCGUUUGUUUGCUUUUGGGGGAGUGAUUUUGGGCGUUAUUUGUUGUAGCUUUCAUUUUUCUAGUAUUUUGUUUAUCAAAUAACCUAUCUAAGGCAGAAAACAGCUCUGAACACCCUGUGAAACACCAUGCUGUGUUGUGGAUAGUGUGAAAAAAUAGUACACUGAACUAACAAAAUCUAACGUGCUACCUCAGAGAGAGAGUUGUAUUUUUUGAGUAAAAUUUCAAUUAUUGAUCCCAUUGUGCAGUUACUAGGGGGAUCAUAUUUUCCUGCAAGAAGUAUGGUUUUAGAAAUUCUAAGAUGAAAAUUAGUUGAGACAACUCUGCUGAAAGGAACUGCAGUCAUAUAUGAGUCACUAAUGUUUUACUUAAUAGGGGAAAUUGCUUGUUCUUUUACAGAUUACAUCUGUGCCUAAAUAUUUUAUUUAAUUGCUAGCAAAAUGUAGGUUCUGUGUCUUCAGUUCUUCAGCACGUCACUAACAGCAGCAUUGGAGUCCCAGUGGUAUUACACUGACCCAUUCACCAAGAACUUGGCCAAACAAACAUUGCCCGAUUCCUCUCGUCCCCUGCUUCCUUUGGGAGAUACACACCCAUGUCUUUCCAAAACCUGUACUGGACAGAUGUGGACGGUUGUGUGGGUUUUGUUUUUUUCCCUUAGGGUGCCCAGGAGAUCACUUUUGGAUUCAGACUAUUUCUGCUCAAAAUGAGUAGAUUGUAGGGUCCUGGAAAUCCCUCAGAGAAUGCAACAGGGCACAACCUACUUCUGCCUCACUUUAGCACGUGGUGGCAGGGUCAAUUAGGAUUGUAUAAUCAAUAUUCAAUACUUUUAUAACUUCAUCCAGAUGCUGAUAGCAGAAAAGCAAUGUCCAUGCAUUUUGUUGUUGUAAAUCCUUUCACAAAAUCAAACAAUUGCCAAGAAUGUGGAAACAUUAAAGUAAGAGACAAUGAUAAUAGAAUAAUUGAAACCAGAUGGAUUUCUGCACCUGAUAUCAGUCAGCGUGCCAGUGAAACAGCUUUUUAUUGCAAGGCAUGCUACAGCAUAUGUCAGGGUAGCACCAGCUUAUUUUCAAACAUUAUUUUGAUCAUUUUGAAAGCGACUAGUGUGUUGAGUUUCUUACUGUGAUUGUUCUUAUACAUUGCAACAAGAUCCUUUUUUGUUAAAUAUUUCCUGAGAAGGAAAUACGAUCUUCACUCUCCCAACCUCCGCUGGCUAUUAUCAGAUGAGCACCAUGCCAGGACUGCCCACGAGGCCGUGCUUCUAUGACAUUGACCUUGACCCCGUCACAGAGCAAGUGAAAGGAUUAUUUUGAGAGUGACAUCCAAAUUCAGAAGCCUGGAAAUUAAGAACUGCAACUUUCCUGUUUCCUGCAAGUAGGAGACAAAAACGAACGUGAAAAAUUCCUGUUAUGUGUCUCGGGAGGAAUGUCAAGAUAGACCAAAGAGCAAAAGUUUACUCUUUCUUCAAACUAUUUUUUACAAUGAAAUAUAGCUGCAAGGUUAAAAAAAAAAAAAAAAAAGGCAAGCUAAAGAAGUUUUUUGCUGUAGUGCAGAAAGCUCUCUGCUGGGCUUAGAGUUGCUUGUGGAUAAAAUGACAUUGAAAAGUGAGGAAUUUUUCACUUUAGAGUUUUCCUCUUUUCUCAAAGGAGUUUACAGAAGUAUUUGCCUUAUCUUGGCCAUCUAAAAACUCACAUUGACAUGAUUAUACUAUGUGAUCAAGUAUAUUUCUCUCUGAAAAAUAAUACACUUUCUCUCCAGGCAUUCAGGAGCUGAAACUACACACAGACUAACUGCGCAUUUUUGAGUUAUCACCAGGCAUUGCUGUGGAUGCACUUGGGCAACAGCCAAGCUUCAAGCAAGGAAGAUAUUAAGCAGAGAAAGAACAGAGCAUGUAUUUUGUACAAGGUUUUUCAUACACAACUUGUUUCCUUGUUGGGCAAAGAUAUUUUGAAACACUUAAGACAUAGCUGUCUCAUAUCCAUAGGUCUCUGUCUAUCCAAAGCGAUGUUACAAGCUGUCCAGCUGAUUCUGCGUUUGUUGUGGUGAAGCUGGUUGUUCAGUGAGGGCACUGCUCCUUCUGAAGCCGUUUUGCUGCUGUUCAUGACUAAUGAAGCCUCCUGCUGUGCUGGCUCCCGACCUAGAGCUUUUCUUGUCCUGCCCUGGCAGUAUACAACGCCCAGGAACAACAAAGGAAUGUCCAUCAAGCAAGGAUGCAACACAGCAGAGCUUUGUUCUGCUUUGCUUUGCAGGUUUUAACUGCCAUACUUGUAAAACUAGAGCAUGUUUUCUGUUUGAAGGGAGUAUUCAAACAAGUUAAAUCCUAAAGCGUGUUCUUUAAUUUACAUCAGUAAUUUACCUUGCCCAUUUUUUCCUAAAUCUGCAGCAUUUAGCUUUUCAAGCUGCUGCUCCUCAGGAAACUCUCACUGACUGUUGGUUCCUUCAAUAACAAAAAACGCAACAGAACAAUAGGUUGGAUGGAGACAAUAGGCCAUUGUUUUUUUAGGUAAAAAGCAGUGAAAUAAUGAUGAGAGAGUUUAUUUUCCUGGUGACGUUUUCCAUCCUGUCACUUUGCUCCACUUACGCACAUCUGUAUGUUUUGAGCUUCUGCAAUGUAGUUUUGGUUCCCUUCUCCGCAGCCACAUUUGGAGACUUAAUUAUCUCAGGAGCUGUGUUGUAAUUGAGGGCUUUGUUUUGGUUUUUAAAAUCAUGGUUCGUUAUUUAUAAACUCAAAACUAUAAUUAUGGACAGAAGAGCAAACUGGGGACAAUCAAAAUAAUUAUCUGUGCCUCCCCUGGAGUAGCACGGAAAUGUCUGCUGACCGCAUUUCAGAACUGUUCUAUUCAUAGUGUGGUACCCCAGCACUGUGGGGGUUGCUGUGAAGAAAAAUGUUAAAAACCAGGGUUAUUUGAUACGUUAGCCUGAUUAAACAAUAGAGCUCAUAAUGGUCUAGACUAUAGAUGCUUUAAUUACACUGGGGCAGGACAAACAUGACAAGUAGAAAGUAAGAUUCAAGUGUGGCUCUUGCAGCUCCUGGGGAUUUCUGAUAUUUUCUAUUAAGUUUUGCCCCAAAAUACAACCAUGUUACUAAAACACUGAGCCUAGAAAAAUCCAAAGACUUUUGGAAGAAAAUAAAUAUGAUUUCCAGCCUUAGUUUUCCUAGUAAAGACCUUACAAGAAAAAUAAAUAAGGUUUUCCUUCCAUCUUGCCCAGAGAAAUUUGCAAAACCACAACCAUGCCUUACUUGUGGUCACUGUGGCUGCCCCACAGGUGCGUUGGACAUAUCUCCAUGCAAAGUGGGAUAUUAAAUGUGGCACUAGCUGAUCACCUGUGAAGCUUCCAUAUGGGAUACAGAUGUCUGAGCAACCGGUUUUAUAAGUCAUUUCAAACUGCUGCCUGAUACACACUUUCUAAAUUGUAGUCUAUAUUGUCCCAUCAGGCCUUGCACUCUGGGACUGUUUAUCUGACCCAGUGCCUCCCUAAAACACCAUUCCAGAUCAGUUAGCUGAGAGCUGACAAACAUCCUGUAAUUUUUUUCUACUGUCAUGUGCACAGGAUUUGUUAUAUUGUUUUGAUAGCUUCAAUAAUUCAAGGAAAGCUGGAAUGACUCUCAUUUUCCCCCCAUCUAGUUAACUGUCUGCGAAGUCUCUUGAGCUAUUACAUUUUUGGUUCUUCAUUUUUAAUUUUAGUUGAAGAUUUGUUAAAAAUAAUCCACACUGACCUGCAGAUUCUGUCUCAUGAUCCAAAGGGACCGAGUUAUUGGCCAUCAGCUGGGCUGCGGAAACUGCUACAGUACAUUCCCUUGGGCCACCCUAGUUCUCGGGCCAAAUGCCUUCAUUGAGAAGGGUUUAAAAUGAAAUCUUUUUAAGGUAACUUUUAUUGCUGGGUGGGUCACUUGUUGCUGCACAGAUGUGAUCGCAGGUGCGGGAUUCCUGCCUUUGCCUCUGCCCUGACUAACCUGGAAACACAGCAGAAUGGCAUCUUCAGAAAGUGAAUUGCCGGGCUUAUCCCUGCGUUUGCUAAAGCGUACUAAGAGCUAUGCCCUUGUUUAUUAUCAGAAGAUCUGCUUUUUGUAGUGACUGAAUACUUUGUUAUUGCUACUGCUGAACUACAGAAAACUAAUGACAUUGAAAUACAUCAGACUACAUACAAUGGGUUUCUUUGUUUGCAUUUUAAGAUUCAAAAUCCCAGAUUUUCAGUUGCCAUGAACAUGAAAACAAAGUGUGUGUGCUGAUAUUCAGUUUGCACAUGAUGCCUGUCUCAAGCCUGAAUUCAUUAAUAAACUACCUUCGUUAUUUAA
Molecule: RNA transcript, 12937 nt
Organism: Columba livia (rock pigeon)
Lineage: Eukaryota; Metazoa; Chordata; Aves; Columbiformes; Columbidae
Gene: MTHFD1L
Gene name: methylenetetrahydrofolate dehydrogenase (NADP+ dependent) 1 like
Exons: 29
Source: RefSeq, a predicted model, not a curated record